CCUACGGGGGGCAGCAGUGAGGAAUAUUGGUCAAUGGCCGGAAGGCUGAACCAGCCAAGUCGCGUGAGGGAUGACGGCGCUACGCGUUGUAGACCUCUUUUGCCGGGGAGCAAAAGGCCGGACUCGUCCCGCCCCGAGGGUACCCGGAGAAAAAGCAUCGGCUAACUCCGUGCCAGCAGCCGCGGUAAUACGGAGGAUGCGAGCGUUAUCCGGAUUCAUUGGGUUUAAAGGGUGCGCAGGCGGGCCUGUAAGUCGGCGGUAAAAUGGCGGGGCUCAACCCCUCCGCGCCGUCGAAACUGGGUUCCUUGAGUGGGCCAGAGGCAUGCGGAAUGCGUGGUGUAGCGGUGAAAUGCAUAGAUAUCGCGCAGAACCCCGAUUGCGAAGGCAGCGUGCCGGGGCCCAACUGACGCUGAUGCACGAAAGCGCGGGGAUCGAACAGGAUUAGAUACCCGUGUAGUC
This 459-nucleotide ribosomal RNA is filed under the name uncultured bacterium. Its description in RNAcentral is "partial 16S ribosomal RNA". It matches the Rfam family "Bacterial small subunit ribosomal RNA", at positions 338 to 795 of the family's 1533-position model. The record is from RNAcentral.